GUGAACUGCGGAAGGACAUU
This 20-nucleotide ribosomal RNA is filed under the name Rhizopogon subsalmonius. RNAcentral describes it as "partial small subunit ribosomal RNA". The record is from RNAcentral. RNAcentral also lists the same sequence under 1 other name. Lineage: Eukaryota; Fungi; Basidiomycota; Agaricomycetes; Boletales; Rhizopogonaceae.